AACGAACGCUGGCGGCAUGCCUAACACAUGCAAGUCGAACGAGACCUUCGGGUCUAGUGGCGCACGGGUGCGUAACGCGUGGGAACCUGCCCUUAGGUUCGGAAUAACUCCCCGAAAGGGGUGCUAAUACCGGAUAAUGUCUUCGGACCAAAGAUUUAUCGCCUUUGGAUGGGCCCGCGUUGGAUUAGCUAGUUGGUAGGGUAAAAGCCUACCAAGGCGACGAUCCAUAGCUGGUCUGAGAGGAUGAUCAGCCACACUGGGACUGAGACACGGCCCAGACUCCUACGGGAGGCAGCAGUGGGGAAUAUUGGACAAUGGGCGAAAGCCUGAUCCGGCAAUGCCGCGUGAGUGAUGAAGGCCUUAGGGUUGUAAAGCUCUUUUACCCGGGAUGAUAAUGACAGUACCGGGAGAAUAAGCUCCGGCUAACUCCGUGC
This 434-nucleotide ribosomal RNA is filed under the name uncultured bacterium. RNAcentral describes it as "partial 16S ribosomal RNA". It matches the Rfam family "Bacterial small subunit ribosomal RNA", at positions 29 to 508 of the family's 1533-position model. The record is from RNAcentral.